CAGUAGCCGCGGUAAUACAGAGGGUGCGAGCGUUAAUCGGAUUUACUGGGCGUAAAGCGUGCGUAGGCGGCUAAUUGAGUCGGAUGUGAAAUCCCCGAGCUUAACUUGGGAAUUGCAUUCGAUACUGGUUAGCUAGAGUGUGGGAGAGGAUGGUAGAAUUCCAGGUGUAGCGGUGAAAUGCGUAGAGAUCUGGAGGAAUACCGAUGGCGAAGGCAGCCAUCUGGCCUAACACUAACGCUGAGGUACGAAAGCAUGGGGAGCAAACAGGAUUAGAUACCCCUGUAGUCCCUGUCUCUUAUAC
Molecule: ribosomal RNA, 301 nt
Filed under: uncultured bacterium
Lineage: Bacteria
Description: partial 16S ribosomal RNA
Rfam family: Bacterial small subunit ribosomal RNA
Source: RNAcentral